AAUAGCCUUUGGGGCAAGGUGAAAAAGAGCAAUCUUUUGAUUCCUUACCGGCGGUAUAGUCCGCGAGCCGUAUGGUUGAUCCGGUGCAACUCCGGAACCGACAGUAUAGUCUGGAUGGGAAAAGGCUGAA
This 130-nucleotide non-coding RNA is filed under the name Acetonema longum. RNAcentral describes it as "FMN sequence". It matches the Rfam family "FMN riboswitch aptamer (RFN element)". Rfam says of the family: The RFN element is a highly conserved domain that is found frequently in the 5'-untranslated regions of prokaryotic mRNAs that encode for flavin mononucleotide (FMN) biosynthesis and transport proteins. This element is a metabolite-dependent riboswitch that directly binds FMN in the absence of proteins. In Bacillus subtilis, the riboswitch most likely controls gene expression by causing premature transcription termination within the 5' untranslated region of the ribDEAHT operon and precluding access to the ribosome-binding site of ypaA mRNA. Lineage: Bacteria; Bacillati; Bacillota; Negativicutes; Acetonemataceae. The record is from RNAcentral. RNAcentral also lists the same sequence under 1 other name.